This 253-nucleotide ribosomal RNA is filed under the name uncultured bacterium. RNAcentral's name for it is "partial 16S ribosomal RNA". It matches the Rfam family "Bacterial small subunit ribosomal RNA", at positions 524 to 776 of the family's 1533-position model. The record is from RNAcentral.
UACAGAGGUCCCAAGCGUUGUUCGGAUUCAUUGGGCGUACAGGGUGCGUAGGUGGCGCCGUAAGUCAGGUGUGAAAUCUCGGGGCUUAACUCCGAAACUGCAUUUGAUACUGCGGUGCUUGAGGACUGGAGAGGAGACUGGAAUUUACGGUGUAGCAGUGAAAUGCGUAGAUAUCGUAAGGAAGACCAGUGGCGAAGGCGAGUCUCUGGACAGCAACUGACGCUGAGGCACGAAGGCCAGGGGAGCAAACGGG